UUAAAAAGCUCGUAGUUGGAUUUCUGUCCGAGACGGCCGGUCCGCACUUAGUGCGUGUAUCUGGUUCGGCUAGGGCAUCCUCUUGGGGAUCGUUUCUGUGCUUUAUUGCAUGGGGCGGAAUUCAAGACUUCUACUUUGAGGAAAUUAGAGUGUUCACGGCAAGCAAUCGCUUUGAAUACAUUAGCAUGGAAUAAUAAUAUAGGGCGUAAGUUCUAUUUUGUUGGUUUCUAGGACUACGCAAUGAUUAAUAGGGACAAUUGGGGGCAUUCGUAUUAACGCGUCAGAGGUGGAAUUCUUAGAUUGCGUUACGACGAACUACUGCGAAAGCAUUUGCCAAGGAUGUUUUCAUUGAUCAAGAACGAAAGUAUGGGGAUCGAAGACGAUUAGAUACCGUCGUAGUCUAUACCAUAAACUAUGCCAAUUAGAGAUUGGAGGUCGUUCAUUUAUGGCACCUUCAGCACCUUAUGAGAAAUCACAAAUU
Molecule: ribosomal RNA, 481 nt
Filed under: uncultured marine eukaryote
Lineage: Eukaryota
Description: SSU rRNA
Rfam family: Eukaryotic small subunit ribosomal RNA
Source: RNAcentral